GACGAACGCUGGCGGCGUGCCUAACACAUGCAAGUCGAACGGAAAGGCCUGCUUUUUCUUGUGGUUUGCGGGUACUCGAGUGGCGAACGGGCGAGUAACUCGCGUGCGAUCUGGCCCCAAAUUGGGUAUAAGAACGGGAACCAGGGCCUAAUUAUCGAUAGGACCGCAGGGUGGUGCAUGUGGUGGAAAAUGUUUUUCUAGUGGUUGGGGAUGAGCUCGCGGACUAUCAGCUUGUUGUUGGGGUAAUGGCCUACCAAGGCGGCGACGCGUAGCCAGCCAGGGAGGGUGCACGCCGGCAUUGAGACUGGGACACGACCCAGACGGCUACGGGAGGCAGCAGAUGGGAAGAUUGGACGAUGGGCGGGAGGCUGAAGCAGCGACGCCGCGUUGAAGAUGUCGGGCUUCGGGUUGUAAACUCCUUGGGACCGCGAAAUGUCCACCUGGUUGGAAGGGUGGUGACGGUAGUUAUAGAAAAAGCACCGGCUAACUACGUG
Molecule: ribosomal RNA, 494 nt
Filed under: uncultured bacterium
Lineage: Bacteria
Description: partial 16S ribosomal RNA
Rfam family: Bacterial small subunit ribosomal RNA
Source: RNAcentral